Pseudomonadales bacterium is the source of this 85-nucleotide non-coding RNA. NCBI's taxonomy places the organism in Bacteria, Pseudomonadati, Pseudomonadota, Gammaproteobacteria, Pseudomonadales. The record is from Rfam.
UCGUGAGUCGCUGCUGGCCUAGGGCCGCGCGGCACGCUUCGCCUCGUUCGGGAUGAAUGGCGCGGAGUAUCACCAGAAAAAGGAA